AGGCCUAACACAUGCAAGUCGAGCGGAUGAAGGGAGCUUGCUCCUGGAUUCAGCGGCGGACGGGUGAGUAAUGCCUAGGAAUCUGCCCAAUAGUGGGGGAUAACGUUCCGAAAGGAACGCUAAUACCGCAUACGUCCUACGGGAGAAAGCAGGGGACCUUCGGGCCUUGCGCUAUUGGAUGAGCCUAGGUCGGAUUAGCUAGUUGGUGAGGUAAAGGCUCACCAAGGCGACGAUCCGUAGCUGGUCUGAGAGGAUGAUCAGCCACACUGGAACUGAGACACGGUCCAGACUCCUACGGGAGGCAGCAGUGGGGAAUAUUGGACAAUGGGCGAAAGCCUGAUCCAGCCAUGCCGCGUGUGUGAAGAAGGUCUUCGGAUUGUAAAGCACUUUAAGUUGGGAGGAAGGGUUUCUGGCUAAUAUCCAGGAAUUUUGACGUUACCGACAGAAUAAGCACCGGCUAACUUCGUGCCAGCAGCCGCGGUAAUACGAAGGGUGCAAGCGUUAAUCGGAAUUACUGGGCGUAAAGCGCGCGUAGGUGGUUCGUUAAGUUGGAUGUGAAAGCCCCGGGCUCAACCUGGGAACUGCAUCCAAAACUGGCGAGCUAGAGUAGGCAGAGG
This 617-nucleotide ribosomal RNA is filed under the name Pseudomonas sp. 2FB9. RNAcentral's name for it is "bacterial SSU rRNA". It matches the Rfam family "Bacterial small subunit ribosomal RNA", at positions 44 to 657 of the family's 1533-position model. The record is from RNAcentral. Lineage: Bacteria; Pseudomonadati; Pseudomonadota; Gammaproteobacteria; Pseudomonadales; Pseudomonadaceae.